AUAAGAUUUCUGAGAUAAUGUUAACAAGCUGCUGAAAAAUUAGGGUUACAGAGGUUGAAGACGAUUGUAAAAUUACAAUUAUACCCUUUAUUAAAUUUCUUAUGUGUACGUAUUUAUUAUUUACAGUGUACGUACAUGUAGACAUGUAAAUAUGUUAGAUUAUGUUUUAUUUUAAAAGCGGCAUAUAAAAUUAUUUAUUGAGUUUGUACAUUAGAAAUCUUUGGUUAUUUUGUUUAGAUGUGAUAUUUUUUGGGGUUUUCC
RNAcentral lists this small RNA (261 nucleotides) under Arabidopsis thaliana (thale cress). RNAcentral's name for it is "ATSL059080". Lineage: Eukaryota; Viridiplantae; Streptophyta; Magnoliopsida; Brassicales; Brassicaceae. The record is from RNAcentral.